CCUAACUCCAGUUGCCACCUUAUGGCACCUCUAAGCAUCUUCUCACCAAAAUGAGCGAUGGUUUUAUUUUGCUUUAAUUUCUGUGUAUUACAUUUAGUUAAUUUCCUUCAUAAUGCAGAAUUGCGCCAGUGAUCCUGACCCCAGUGGCUCUUUACUCCUGAAACACUACUACGACUAGCGACAUUAUAUUGUGCUUGUACUAGCUUGUUUUAACGACUAGCAGGUUUC
Pelobates cultripes (western spadefoot toad) is the source of this 228-nucleotide non-coding RNA. The record is from the annotation of a GenBank genome assembly. Lineage: Eukaryota; Metazoa; Chordata; Amphibia; Anura; Pelobatidae.